UCAAGAUGUGGCCUGCACCAGUGCUUCUGCUCGUCCAGUCGGCUCUGCUGAUUCAAGGAUCUUCCGCCCAGGAUUUGUUGACCCAGACGGACAAAAUCAAGUAUGUCAGUCUUGGUGGGACGGUGACCAUCAGCGCCAAAGGGAGUUCAAAUAUUGGUGAUGCUCUCAGUUGGUACCAAGUGAAACCUGGACAGGUUCCUAAACUUCUGAUCUAUGCUGCAUCAACCCUUUCUUCUGGAACACCACCUCGAUUCAGUGGCACACGAUCUGGCUCUGACUACACUCUGACUAUCAGUGGUGUUCAGGCAGAAGAUGUCGCUGAUUACUACUGUUUUGCCGCUUUUGGAGCUGGAAGAGCUGGCAGCAGCCUGCUUCCGCCCAGAGUGGGAGGAGCCUGUGGGAGGAGCCUGUGGGAGAAGCCUGUGGGAGCGCUGCGCGCGGUCUGCUCGCCUUCCCUGACGUCCUCGGUCUGGAGCGGCGCUUCCGGGAUUGCGGUGACGCAGUGCCGUCAUCGGGCCAAAUGGAGCAAAUUGGAAUAA
Non-coding RNA from Nerophis lumbriciformis (worm pipefish), 539 nucleotides. NCBI's taxonomy places the organism in Eukaryota, Metazoa, Chordata, Actinopteri, Syngnathiformes, Syngnathidae. The record is from the annotation of a RefSeq genome assembly.